AAUGGGCGCAAGCCUGACCCAGCAACGCCGCGUGAAGGAAGAAGGCUUUCGGGUUGUAAACUUCUUUUGUCGGGGACGAAACAAAUGACGGUACCCGACGAAUAAGCCACGGCUAACUACGUGCCAGCAGCCGCGGUAAUACGUAGGUGGCAAGCGUUAUCCGGAUUUACUGGGUGUAAAGGGCGUGUAGGCGGGAUUGCAAGUCAGAUGUGAAAACUGGGGGCUCAACCUCCAGCCUGCAUUUGAAACUGUAGUUCUUGAGUGCUGGAGAGGCAAUCGGAAUUCCGUGUGUAGCGGUGAAAUGCGUAGAUAUACGGAGGAACACCAGUGGCGAAGGCGGAUUGCUGGACAGUAACUGACGCUGAGGCGCGAAAGCGUGGGGAGCAAA
RNAcentral lists this ribosomal RNA (388 nucleotides) under uncultured bacterium. RNAcentral's name for it is "bacterial SSU rRNA". It matches the Rfam family "Bacterial small subunit ribosomal RNA", at positions 370 to 772 of the family's 1533-position model. The record is from RNAcentral.